CCCUUAGAUGUUCUGGGCCGCACGCGUGCUACACUGAGUGGAUCAGCGGGUCAGGUUGCGCGAAAGCGUUUCCUAAUCUUUAAAUCCGCUCGUGAUGGGGAUUGACGGUUGCAAUUUUCUGUCAUGAACGAGGAAUACCUUGUAAGCGCGGGUCAUCAUCCCGCGCUGAAUACGUCCCUGCCCUUUGUACACACCGCCCGUCGCUACUACCGAUUGAAUGGUUUAGUGAGAUCUCCGGAUUGGCUCUGUAGGUCCCGCAAGGGAUUUAUUAGUAGCCAAGAAGCUGCUCAAACUUGAUCAUUUAGAGGAAGUAAAAGUCGUAACA
Molecule: ribosomal RNA, 325 nt
Filed under: uncultured eukaryote
Lineage: Eukaryota
Description: partial 18S ribosomal RNA
Rfam family: Eukaryotic small subunit ribosomal RNA
Source: RNAcentral